This 72-nucleotide transfer RNA is filed under the name Nephromyces sp. ex Molgula occidentalis. RNAcentral's name for it is "tRNA-Val". It matches the Rfam family "tRNA". From Rfam's summary of the family: Transfer RNA (tRNA) molecules are approximately 80 nucleotides in length. Their secondary structure includes four short double-helical elements and three loops (D, anti-codon, and T loops). Lineage: Eukaryota; Apicomplexa; Aconoidasida; Nephromycida. The record is from RNAcentral.
GGGUAGUUAGCUCAGUGGUAGAGUUUCUGCCUUACAAGCAGAGGAUCAUUGGUUCAAAUCCAGUACUACUCA